UCAGUGUAGUUCGGGAGUGUCUUGUAGCUGGGACUACCAGGAGCUGUGAUUUCACUGCGAUUGCUGCUGCUACUGCUUGCUGACCUUCCUUAUUACAACGUGUCAAAAGAUAAAAGAAUCUAGCCUAAGCUAUGAACAAUGAAUUACAAAAGUCCUAUUUAAGUCUUCAAACUUGCUCUUGUACUUCCUUGAUAUCUUGUUAUCUUGCAUUCCUUUGGUGAAAUCCAUUAUCGUUACUUCAACUUGCUAACUGAGAUGUUGUUCCUUCCCUCCAAAUCUUUGAACUUAAAUAAACUUGAACUUGAAUGUAUUCCUCUGUUCUCCAGGCGGGAUCCUAACUUCACAAAAUAGACAAAACAAAGAAAAAUUUCAGCCCCAGUUUGGAAAACUGGGGUUUGUUAUCGAAUACUAAUACGAAUUUGGAAACUAAAACUUGAAUUGUAAUACCUAUGUUCUCUAGGCGGGCUCCUGACUUCCGAAACUUGAAUUGUAUUCCUAUGUUCUUCAGGCGGGCUCCUAACUUCAAAAAUAUGAAGAAACCGAUUGAAAACUAACAUUUGAAUUGUAUCACCUCUGUUCUUCAGGCGGGCUCCUGAUUGCUGAAUUUGAAAUUGCAUGUAUUCCUCUAUUAUCCAGGCGGACUCCUGACUUCACAAAAACAGACAAAACAAAGAGAACUUUAUGCCCUAGUUUGGAAAACUGGGUGUUUGUUACCACAUACUAAAACUUGAAUUGUGAUAAAACUGAAAUGCAAAUUUUUACAAAUAUUUAAGGGAUGAAAUGUAUCUUAAAAUUUAAAGUUUUUCUUUGGAGAAAAAUUCAUCAGACUAAGAUUUUCAUCUUAGGUGAAAGAUUCAACAGACUAAGAUUUUUAUCCUUGAUCUCAACAGACUAAGCUUUUUCUAACUUUAAUCUUAGGUGAAAAAUUCAUCAGACUAAUAUUUUCAUCUUAGGAGAAAGCUUCAACAGACUAUGAUCUUUACCUUUUAUCUUUGGUGAAAACUUUAUCAGACUAAGAUUUUCAUCUUAGGAGAAAGAUUCAACAGACUAAGAUUUACCCUUAUCUUAGGUGAAAAAUUCAUCAGACGAAGAUUUUACCUUGGGCGAAAGAUUCGACAGACUAAGAUUUUGACUCUAGGAGAUAAUUCAAUAGACUAGAUCCAUUUUUGUGUGAUCCCGAUUUUCUUAAUUUUUCAAAUUCCAACGUUCUUUCUUUCUUUUUCAAAUUCUGCCAACAUUUCUUUUCCGAAAUUAUGUCAUCCCAAAUUAUGCCUUCCUUUCUAUUCCCCAAAUUGUCUUCCUUCCCUUUUUUCCAACUUCUGCCUUUAUCUUAGGUGAAAGAUUCAACAUACUAAGAUUUCUUUAUCUUAGGUGAAAAAUUCAACGGACUAAGAUUUUUAUCUUAGGUGAAAGAUUCAACAGACUAAGAUUUCUUCCUCUUAGAUAAAAAAUUCAUCAGACUAAGAUUUUCUUUUAACCAUUUUUUUCCAAAACUUGUCUUAUCUACCCUCUAACUUGAAUUAUCUUCCUCCGGAACUGCUCCCUUAAAUACUGGUGUUGUCCUCCUUCAAAACCAUUUCCCUAAAAACAGUGUUUCAAUCCUCCAAAAAUUAUUUUUUUCUUAAAAAUGGUGUUUCUCGACUAAAAACUACUUCCCUCUCUAAAAAGAACUUGUAUUGUCCUUCAUGUUCUUCAGAUGAAUGCUUGCCUUCAAGAAAAUUUUCAACACGAUAGAAACUUUUCUGCCCCAGUUUGAUAAUCUUCAUGUAGCAUAACAUUUCCAUGCCCCUGUUUCAAAACAAAGAAACUUCUGUCAGUUUAAAGUGCGGUGGUUGGGUGUGGUACUCCUGCUGGGAUGGCUUUCCUUUUCUCCUUUCCAUGCUUUGCAUGUUCACUGAUUAACCACUUUCGUAGUCAUCUAUGUCACCAAACAUAUCUUCUCUGCAUUCAAACCCUAUAUCUUCUGUUUGUUACACCGCUCAUGAACUGGAAUUUUCCUGACCUUUGUGCUUCACCAGGAUCCCCAAAGCAAUUUGAUUAUUACCAGUCCAGUGCUCUUGUUGUUUUCGUGGCUUUUGAUACUUUGAUAUGCUAGCCAGACCCCAUUUGUGCAAUUGGAAAGCUGGUGGUAAAUUUUGAAGUCAUUCCUCACUUGGUAUAAUCGACAUACUCAGAAAAAAGUAAACAAACAGAGGAACGAAGUGAAGGACACAGUAAAGAGAUGAUUCCUAAAGAAAGACACUACAAAGUAGAAACCUAUCAAAUGUGGAUACCAACUCUAAUGAUCAUGACAUGCACCUGUAGAUAUUCUUCCAAUCGAACCUGAUAUUCAGCUCCACUUAUUUGAUUCUCUUUCCUUAUUCGACUUGUGGCACCCGAAGGGUUUUCACCACCAAAUCUCUCUCAUUUGUUCUUUCUCUCAACUUACCGUCGCCUUAAGGUGCCUGUGAAGGGUUUCACCAUAAGACUCUCAUUUUUUAUUUCUCCCAUCUUUCAUUGCCUUGUGGUACCCGUGAAGAUUUUCAUUAAUCCGGCUCUCUAUUUUUCUUGCUUGGACCGGAGUGUUGCCCCUGACAUGAAUUACCUUACCUUCUUGACUUGGCAUUCCCAAAGACUGAUCAGAAGGUCUUUAUUUGGACCGUAAUGUGGGCUUUUGGAUAGGGUUAGAAAAAAGGGGUACAAAGGCUUAAAACAAAUUCAAAAUGGGUUAAAACUACAACUUUUGGAAUCUGAUUCUUUCAACAAUCACAACUUCUGUUCCAGUUUCUUGCUUAGGGACUUUUGAUUGAUUUUAUUUUGGUAUGACUGAACCUCAGAGAGGCUACUUACGUACUCUUUUGUGAUCAAAUCAAACGUAGUUCACGUUAUAAAAACUACGUUGUUGUGAUUUUCUUUCUCUUCUUUUCUUUAAAAUGUUUUUUCUUUCUUUUUUCUUUUCUUUCUUCUCUUUCUUUCUUUUCCUUUCUUUCUUUUUUUCUUCUCUUUCUUUCUUUUCUUUUCUUUUCCUUUUCUUUCUUUUUUUUCUUUUUCCUUUUCUUCCUCUCUUUCUCAUUUUUUCUUCUUCCUUUUCAUUUACUUAUUUGCGGAACUUGCACUUCUCAAUUGUGUCGUCGAUUCUGAAAGAGGGGUAUGAAAGAAAAUAUUAAUGGCUCAAAGGGGGUGACAAUGAAAAAAAAUAUUUGGAUAGCAGAGCAAAACGCCUUCGUCAUUUCAACCCUCAAAAUAUGCCAAGUACAAACAAGUAUAAUCAGAACAAAGAAACCAUACACACAAUCUCUUGACCGCAUCAGAAUUGACGGCUAUUUCCACAUAUUUUUCUUCUUUUUGAUUUCAACAAACAACUUAUUUUUCGCAAAUAAAAAUACAGACUCUUUUUUUUCAUUUUUAGUAACACAACCAAUUUUUUGAACUAAAAAUAAAGACUCUUUUUUUCCUUUUCAAUAAAACACCCUAUUUUUCCAUUGGCAAAUUGACUAUUUUGAAACAAAAAAUCAAGACUCUUUUUUUUUCUUUUCUCAUGACAAAACAAAUUAUUUUUCAUUUUCCAUUUUUGCAAACAAGACAAACUAAAAAAAUGACAGACUCUUUUGAAUAAAACAACUAUUUAAAAACAAAAUAUUUUUAUAUUUUCUCAAAAUUUCGGUAGAGUUCCGACAGUACUUGGACAUCGUUUUUUCUAAAACAAUCAAUUAACUCUCCAACUGCUAUUCUUCUCUUUUCUCUGUUUUAUUUUCUCUUUUUUAAAAUUUUCUAAUAUUCCGGAGAUUCAGAAGCUAGUCAACAUGCAGGUUUGAAAUAAAUAAAUGCACAGAACAUAAGUAGGAUACAUCAGGGUGGUCUUUUCAUUUCAUGUUGCUAGCCCUAGACGGAUUCAAGCCCUAUGUUGAAUCCCCUAAGUCAAAAUGCAGAUGAUGCAAAUAAGCGUUCCUACUAGGGAUCCGUGAGGUUAAGUUAUUCUAGGUUCAAAACCUGGGUGUUUGUUCUAGAGUUGCCUUACUCGAGCGGACAGCUCGAGCCGAGGAGGAGGCGCCAAUCCGGAAAUACAGAAGCUUCGCCGGCUUUGCGACUUAUCCAAACCUCAUUCUAAAUUGCGAUUUGACACUAUACAGAAAAGAAGUCGUACUAUGUACACCCUUCUUCAUGAUUCAGAAGACUCAGUGAGAAGAAGGGUUUCGACACAGUUUAUAUACAGUUCGCAUAAUAUCAAAGCAGUGAAAGCAGUCAAUUACCACAUUAGGCACAUAUCAUGUAACAAAAUCAAACAAAGCCAAACACAACAAUUAUUCCAAGCUCGAAUUCUAAACCCUGACGUUCUGGGCUCUUGUCCCCAGCAGAGUCGCCAGAGCUGUCACACCUCCGUUUUAAUUAUACACCUCGCAAAGAGGCGUAAAGGACUUUUUCCAAUUAAAGGACAAUCAGAACGAGAUUUGUUUAUUAAAGAUCAGAAAUCCUGAACAAAACAUUCUGGGUUCUUUUCCCCAGUAGAGUCGCCAGAGCUGUCAUACCUCCUUUUUCACAAUACACCCCUGCAAAGGGGCGCAAAGGAGUUUUUCCAAUUAAAGGACAAUCGGAACGAGAUUUAUUUAUUAAGAAUUCAGAGUCUACACUUGGGAGAUUAAUGGUUUCCCAAGUCACCGGUUGAAUUUCGAACCGAGGAAAAAGAUGUCUCUGCUCACAGUCUGUGAACCAGAAAUCCGGAUAAGGAAUUCUAUUAACCCGGAAGAAGGUGUUAGGCAUUUCAGGUUCCGUGGUUCUAACGCGGUCGCUCGACUAUUGCAUUUAGCUUUUAUCUGAUUUUAUUACAUGAAGAGCCUAUGUGCCAAGUUUAUGCUUAACCGCCUUUUAUUUAAUAUAAUAUUUAUUUAAGAGAGUGAACGUCAUUUAAAAUGUAUUUUUGGAUUGCGCCGCAUCAAAUGAACCCGCAAUUCUAGGCACACUCUAUUCAACGUUUUAGGAUUUGGACCGCAUAAAAUGCCCACCCAUAUUUAGGAAGGUAAUUUUAUUAAAGUCGCACCUAAUAGAGUCUAACGCAUUAUUAUCUUUUGGGAGGGUCGUGAAUUUCACUAAACGACCCUUCCAGAUUUUCUAAAUAUGUUUAAACCUUCAGUGAGGGUCCCACAAUUUGCAUUUUAUUGGGCGAGGCUCGUCUCAUUUUAUUUUAGCAGUAUAAGCCUAAAAGAUAACUAUAGUUUCAAUUUUUUGAUUUUUGUCUCUAAAAGAAAGAGAAAAUCCUAAUUAAUUACAUUAUUCGAACUCGGGUUUCAAAAGGAAGGACCUUUUAGCUUGCACCCGCUACCUAACUCAAAGUCCAAGCAUGUCAUUCAAAAACACUAGUGAGUUAGGAGCUAAUUGAAUGUUGGGCCAAUGAACCCCAAUGGAACGACACCCACAGGCCCUUCCAAAUUCCAGUAGCGUUUGGACCAGGUCCAACUACAAAAUACGCAUCACAGAACUUGGCCUUUCAAUUCUCGAAAAAGCCCAAAGGCUCCUACUUGAUGCAGAACUCCGAAGAAUCAGGUUCGAAUCUUAAUUGCCGGCUACUAGCUUUCCAUUGGCCUCCACAUAACUUAUUGGCCCUCACAUAACUUUAACGAUAAUGCAAAUAGGACUCAAACAGAUGAACUGGAGCUUUUAACAAAGCAAACCAAACAAUUUUAUAUUAAGAGUUACAGCUUGAGCUUUAUAUUGGUAAAGGAUCUAAUUAAUUACCUAAUUUAGCAUGAUUUCGGGAUCCUCUAUCCAUCAAUUAUGAAGUUGCUUGUUAUUCAAAGAAUAAAGAGUGAGACACGCAGACUGUCUCCUUAUCCUGUAACUAUCAACUCCUGAUCAACACUUAAACAAUCUGAUAACAGAACACAACCCAUUUCCAUUCCUAUUCCAUGACUAAUGCAAUACAGGAAGCUCGAAUUCAUUUGCUUCAUGAGGCACUUGAAAAUUAACGAUUACAAUACGUAAUGAUAAAGCUACGCUAUAUCUAACAUACGAAUGAACAUAAGUCAAGCAGUCCAAGUUUCAUUACAUAUCUAGCAAAUGUGCAAAUCAGUACAAUUCAAAGUACAACUAACGAAUGAACAUCAGUCGAGCAGUCCAAGUUCGAUUACAAAUGUUAUCUAGCAAAAGUGCAAAUCAGUAUAUUUCAAAGUACAACUAAUUCAGAAUCUCAAACUAGACCAACAGAUGGACAUUUUAUUCCAUGACUGGAGCUCAAAAUCACAGCAGAAGUACAGAAUUGUGUACCUGGAAUUCGAGAGUACAGAAAGAAGAGUGAGGAUCGACAGACAAAGCAAUAGCAGCAAUGUUUCAGCAGUAAAAUCUACCCAGAAACUAUCAGAAGGAAUCCAUUUAAACCCACUUGAAACCAAACCACAUACACAGACACCAACCAUCAUAAAUACACCCCAAAUAAGCUCAAAUGAACCAGAGAAUACUUCAAAUCUCAGAGACUCUAGACAUCAGCAGCAGAAAAUCAAUGAAACAAUUGACAUAUUUGUGGUUUUUCCAUUUGUGAAUGUUUUUAUUUUUUUAUUUUUGUGUGCUUGAAUGCCAAAGCUAAUAUGGAAUUGAAAACUGAAGGAAAAGGAGUUUUUCUAUGGGAAUUUUGGCUGAAAUGUCCAGGAACGAACUCAGAACAUCAGUAGCAAUUUCAGCACUCAACUACACCCCAAAUGAACUAGAAAUAACAGAUCAAAACAAACCUCGAACCUCAGCACCCAAAACAAUAACAAAAUGAACUCGAACUCACAUGCAAGUAGAUUCUAAUUCUCAUCAACCCUUUGUUGAAUCCAAAGAUCGAAUUACACUACUAAAACUUGUAUUUAAACUAAAAUAACCAAUAGAACAGUGACUUUGUUUUGGUUUUAUGUUGUUUUUGAUUUAUUUUUUUGUAUAUUGAAUAUGAAGAGAGCUGAAAUUUGAAGUCUGGAUUCAAAUUUCAGAUCUCCAAGACUUGAAGAACUUUUGAGGGAUUUUUAGGCUGCCCAAACUUGAUUCUUCUUCUCUAAAAUUAGGCCUUGAGAGAGUUUUUCAGAAUUUUUCCUUCAUUGUGAAUCUGCCCCCCCCCCCCCUUACAAAGCCAAAAUCGUGACUUUAUAACCAAAUUGGUAUAUUUACUUCUUCCCCUAGAUAAAACCUCUAAUUUUCCCACAUGUGACCCCCAUUCCCUUCUAGAAACUUCCCUCAAAACAGAAUAUAUUCCCUAUAUAC
Molecule: long non-coding RNA, 7203 nt
Filed under: Nicotiana benthamiana
Lineage: Eukaryota; Viridiplantae; Streptophyta; Magnoliopsida; Solanales; Solanaceae
Description: long non-coding RNA (NBEN_LNC020522)
Source: RNAcentral